GAGGAAAAGAAAAUAACAAUGAUUUCCCUAGUAACGGCGAGUGAAGAGGAAAGAGCUCAAAGUUGGAAACUGUUUGGCUUAGCUAAACCGUAUUGUAAACUGUAGAAACAUUUUCCUGGCACACCAGAUUAAUAAGUCCUUUGGAACAAGGCAUCAUGGAGGGUGAGAAUCCCGUCUUUGAUCUGAGUAGUUGUCUUUUGUGAUAUGUUUUCAAAGAGUCAGGUUGUUUGGGAAUGCAGCCUAAAUUGGGUGGUAAAUCUCACCUAAAGCUAAAUAUUUGCGAGAGACCGAUAGCGAACAAGUACCGUGAGGGAAAGAUGAAAAGAACUUUGAAAAGAGAGUUAAACAGUAUGUGAAAUUGUUAAAAGGGAACCGUUUGGAGCCAGACUGGUUUGACUGUAAUCAACCUAGAAUUCGUUUUGGGUGCACUUGCAGUCUAUACCUGCCAACAACAGUUUGAUUUGGAGGACAAAAUUAAUAGGAAUGUAGCCUCUCGAGGUGUUAUAGACUAUUAUCAUACUCUGGAUUGGACUGAGGAACGCAGCGAAUGCCUUUAGGCAAGAUUGCUGGGUGCUUUCGCUAAUAAAUGUUAGAAUUUCUGCUUCGGGUGGUGCUACAUGUUCUAAAGGAGGAACACAUCUAGUAUAUUUUUUAUUCGCUUAGGUUGUUGGCUUAAUGACUCUAAAUGACC
This 691-nucleotide ribosomal RNA is filed under the name Mucor circinelloides. Its description in RNAcentral is "eukaryotic LSU rRNA". It matches the Rfam family "Eukaryotic large subunit ribosomal RNA", at positions 53 to 649 of the family's 3401-position model. The record is from RNAcentral. Lineage: Eukaryota; Fungi; Mucoromycota; Mucoromycetes; Mucorales; Mucoraceae.